UGGGGAAUCUUGCGCAAUGGAGGAAACUCUGACGCAGCCACGCCGCGUGCAGGAAGACACCCCUCAGGGGCGUAAACUGCUUUUAUACGGGAAGAACACCCUACUCGGUAGGGUCUGACGGUACCGUACGAAUAAGCACCGGCUAACUCCGUGCCAGCAGCCGCGGUAAUACGGAGGGUGCAAGCGUUGUCCGGAAUCACUGGGUGUAAAGGGUGUGUAGGCGGACU
RNAcentral lists this ribosomal RNA (227 nucleotides) under uncultured prokaryote. RNAcentral's name for it is "partial 16S ribosomal RNA". It matches the Rfam family "Bacterial small subunit ribosomal RNA", at positions 355 to 581 of the family's 1533-position model. The record is from RNAcentral.